RNAcentral lists this ribosomal RNA (512 nucleotides) under uncultured bacterium. Its description in RNAcentral is "partial 16S ribosomal RNA". It matches the Rfam family "Bacterial small subunit ribosomal RNA", at positions 28 to 507 of the family's 1533-position model. The record is from RNAcentral.
GAUGAACGCUGGCGGCGUGCCUAAUACAUGCAAGUCGAACGAAACUUCUUUAUCUUCGUGUGCUUGCACUCUCCGAUACAGGGUUGUGUGGCGUACGUGUGCUUAACACGUGGGCAACCUGCCUAAAAGAGGCGGAUAAUACUAGGACACAGGUGCUAAUACUGCAUAAUCAUAGUUACCGCAUGGCAACUAUUUAAAAGGUAGCUAUACCACCGCUUUUUGAUCUGCCGGCGGGGAAUUAGCUAGUUGGUAGGGUAAAGGCUUACCAAGGCAAUGAUGCGAAGCCGAAUUGAGGGGUGGAUCGCCCACAUUGGGACUGAGAACCGGCCCAACCUCCUACGGGAGGCAGCAGAAGGGAAUCUUGGACAAGGGGCGAAAGCUUGCUGGAGCAAGGCGGGGUGGGUGAAGAAGGUCUUCGGUUCGUAAAACCCUGUUGUUAGGGAAGAAAGUGCGUGGGAGUAACUGUUCACGUUUCGACGGUAUCUAACCAGAAAGCCACGGCUAACUACGUG